UACGUAGGCAGCGAGCGUUGUUCGGAGUUACUGGGCGUAAAGAGUGCGUAGGCAGUUUUCUAAGUCGGGGGUGAAAUCCUGGAGCUCAACUCCAGAAUUGCCUUCGAUACUGGCUUUCUAGAGGCUGGAAGAGGUUAGUGGAAUUCCCAGUGUAGAGGUGAAAUUCGUAGAUAUUGGGAAGAACACCAGUGGCGAAGGCGGCUAACUGGUCCAGAUCUGACGCUGAGGUGCGAAAGCGUGGGGAGCAAACAGG
Molecule: ribosomal RNA, 253 nt
Filed under: uncultured bacterium
Lineage: Bacteria
Description: partial 16S ribosomal RNA
Rfam family: Bacterial small subunit ribosomal RNA
Source: RNAcentral